Molecule: ribosomal RNA, 423 nt
Filed under: uncultured Nannocystis sp.
Lineage: Bacteria; Pseudomonadati; Myxococcota; Nannocystales; Nannocystaceae
Description: bacterial SSU rRNA
Rfam family: Bacterial small subunit ribosomal RNA
Source: RNAcentral
AGUGGGGAAUAUUGCGCAAUGGGCGAAAGCCUGACGCAGCCACGCCGCGUGAGCGAUGAAGGCCUUCGGGUCGUAAAGCUCUGUGGGGAGAGAAGAAUAAAGUCGGUGAAGAGCCGGCCUUGACGGUAUCUCCUUAGCAAGCACCGGCUAACUCCGUGCCAGCAGCCGCGGUAAUACGGAGGGUGCGAACGUUGCUCGGAAUCAUUGGGCGUAAAGCGCACGUAGGCUGCGAGGAAAGUUGGGUGUGAAAGCCCUGGGCUCAACCCAGGAAGUGCAUUCAAAACUACCUUGCUUGAAUCUCGGAGGGGGUCAGAGAAUUCCCGGUGUAGAGGUGAAAUUCGUAGAUAUCGGGAGGAAUACCAGUGGCGAAGGCGCUGACCUGGACGAAGAUUGACGCUGAGGUGCGAAAGCGUGGGGAGCAAA